AGAGUUUGAUCCUGGCUCAGGAUGAACGCUAGCGGCAGGCCUAAUACAUGCAAGUCGAACGAGGUUUAAUAGCAAUAUUAAACUUAGUGGCGCACGGGUGCGUAACGCGUAUGCAACCUACCCUUUACUGGGAGAUAGCCCGGGGAAACCCGGAUUAAUACCCCAUAACAUUGUGAGCCGGCAUCGGUUUACAAUUAAAGUUGCGAUGGUAAAGGAUGGGCAUGCGUCUGAUUAGCUAGUUGGUGAGGUAACGGCUCACCAAGGCUACGAUCAGUAGGGGAACUGAGAGGUUGAUCCCCCACACUGGCACUGAGAUACGGGCCAGACUCCUACGGGAGGCAGCAGUAGGGAAUAUUGGGCAAUGGUCGAAAGACUGACCCAGCCAUGCCGCGUGAAGGAAGAAGGCUUUCUGAGUUGUAAACUUCUUUUAUCUGGGAAAAAAAUACCCUUGCGAGGGGAACUGAUGGUACCAGAUGAAUAAGCACCGGCUACUCCGUGCCAGCAGCCGCGGUAAUACGGAGGGUGCAAGCGUUGUCCGGAUUUAUUGGGUUUAAAGGGUGCGUAGGCGGCUUUAUAAGUCAGCGUUGAAAUAUGGCAGCUUAACUGUCAGACUGGCAUUGAUACUGUAGAGCUUGAGUGAAGUCGAGGUUGGCGGAAUUGACGGUGUAGCGGUGAAAUGCAUAGAUAUCGUCAAGAACACCGAUUGCGAAGGCAGCUAACUAGACUUUAACUGACGCUGAGGCACGAAAGCGUGGGGAUCAANNAGGAUUAGAUACCCNNGUAGUCC
This 787-nucleotide ribosomal RNA is filed under the name uncultured bacterium. Its description in RNAcentral is "bacterial SSU rRNA". It matches the Rfam family "Bacterial small subunit ribosomal RNA", at positions 8 to 796 of the family's 1533-position model. The record is from RNAcentral.